GGUUGACCUCGGAUCAGGUAGGAGUUACCCGCUGAACUUAAGCAUAUCAAUAAGCGGAGGAAAAGAAACCAACCGGGAUUGCCUCAGUAACGGCGAGUGAAGCGGCAAGAGCUCAAAUUUGAAAUCUGGCCCCCUGGGGUCCGAGUUGUAAUUUGGAGAGGAUGCUUCGGGUGCGGCCCCUG
Molecule: ribosomal RNA, 182 nt
Filed under: Talaromyces erythromellis
Lineage: Eukaryota; Fungi; Ascomycota; Eurotiomycetes; Eurotiales; Trichocomaceae
Description: partial 28S ribosomal RNA
Rfam family: Eukaryotic large subunit ribosomal RNA
Source: RNAcentral